AUUGAACGCUGGCGGCAUGCUUUACACAUGCAAGUCGAACGGUAACGGGCCGCAAGGUGCUGACGAGUGGCGGACGGGUGAGUAAUGCAUCGGAACGUGCCCAGUCGUGGGGGAUAACUACUCGAAAGAGUAGCUAAUACCGCAUACGAUCUAUGGAUGAAAGCGGGGGACCGUAAGGCCUCGCGCGAUUGGAGCGGCCGAUGUCAGAUUAGGUAGUUGGUGGGGUAAAGGCUCACCAAGCCAACGAUCUGUAGCUGGUCUGAGAGGACAACCAGCCACACUGGGACUGAGACACGGCCCAGACUCCUACGGGAGGCAGCAGUGGGGAAUUUUGGACAAUGGGCGCAAGCCUGAUCCAGCAAUGCCGCGUGCAGGAAGAAGGCCUUCGGGUUGUAAACUGCUUUUGUACGGAACGAAACGGCUCUGGUUAAUACCCGGGGCUAAUGACGGUACCGUAAGAAUAAGCACCGGCUAACUACGUG
Molecule: ribosomal RNA, 482 nt
Filed under: uncultured bacterium
Lineage: Bacteria
Description: partial 16S ribosomal RNA
Rfam family: Bacterial small subunit ribosomal RNA
Source: RNAcentral